AACCUUGAAUCAUUGUAUUGUCUUGAAGCUUUAGUUAUAAAUAGAAAUUUUAGGAUAUGACUUGAAGCUUUUAGGAUAUGACUUGAACUUUUAGAAUAUGACUUAAGCCUUUUUAGGUAUGAGUUGAAGCUUUAGGAUAUAAAUUGAACUUUUUAGUUUAAGUUUAAACUCGUAGGAUAUGAAUAUAACUUCUAGGAUAUAAAUUGAACCUUGAAUCAUAUAAAUUGAACCUUGAGCCUUUUAGGUAUUAGUUGAAGAUUUAUGAUAUAAAUUGAAGCAUUUAACAAUGAGUUGAACCUUUAGGAAAUGCAUUGAAAUUUUGGUUAAUGUUUUGGAAUUUUAGAUUGCGGGAAGUAAACUGUCAGAAGAGGUUGAUGACAUUAUUAUACAUGCAAUGAAACUUCCACCAAGAAUAACUAAGAUAAAGUACCUGGCAGAAUGUGNNNNNNNNNNNNNNNNNNNNNNNNNNNNNNNNNNNNNNNNNGAUAAAGUACCUGGCAGAAUGUGCCUUUUAUUGUUAUUCUCAUUAGCGACAAUGAUGAUGAGAAGGCAAUGGCAUGUGUUUCAAAUAGUUAUGGUGUAGGAAAGAAUUUAGUAUUUCCUAAGUAGAUAAAAGAAGAGCUUAUAGAGUAAUUCUGUACUUCAUUUUCUAUCAGGAAAAGAAGUUUGAUUGAGAGAGACAAGGUUGAUAAAGACGGAAUGUGUUCCCUCGGUCCUGGCAGUUCCCAUAAAGCGGGUAUCAUAAGACUCUAUGAUGACAGAGAUUAUAGGUAGUUUUGUUCUAAAUUUUCUUUCAAGUCUGAUCCAAUAAGUUAAUGUGAUAAUUGUGAUAUUUCUUCGGAUUCAGACACUGAUUUGACCGACAAAAGUAUGGCUGAAUCCUUAUAAAUAUCACAAUAACUUGGUGGAUCAGACUUGAAAUAAAAUUUAGAACAAAACUUUGUAUAAUCUUUGUCAUCAUAAAGUCUUAUUAUCCCCGCUUUAUAGGAACUGACACAACCGACGGGAAAUAUUCCGUCUUCAUCAACAUUAUCAGUAUCAAUCAAACUUCUUUUCCCCUUGGAAAGUGAAGUAGAGAAUUUCUCUAUAACCUCUUUUAUCUACUUAGGAAAUGUUAAAUCCUAACUACACCAUCAAUUUUUUGAAACACAUGUCGUUGCCUUCUUAUUAUUAUUGUAGCCAAUGAGAUAAACAAUUGAUCAAAGACACACUCCGUCAUGCAUUGUAUCCAAGUUAUUCUCUGUAUCAAAGUUCAUCCCGAGCACGAGGAUAAUCACCAAAGCCACCAGACAACUUUAUGAUGCCAAUGAAUCAAGAUGAGCUAUUCAAUGAAACUCGUAUUGUCAAGAAGAAGAAAGAGACAGAUUCAGAAAGGAGGGUCGAGCCCCGACUUCAUACAUGU
This 1402-nucleotide long non-coding RNA is filed under the name Nicotiana benthamiana. RNAcentral's name for it is "long non-coding RNA (NBEN_LNC004342)". Lineage: Eukaryota; Viridiplantae; Streptophyta; Magnoliopsida; Solanales; Solanaceae. The record is from RNAcentral.